Molecule: non-coding RNA, 1782 nt
Organism: Myodes glareolus (Bank vole)
Lineage: Eukaryota; Metazoa; Chordata; Mammalia; Rodentia; Cricetidae
Source: RefSeq, a predicted model, not a curated record
GGCCUCCAGCUCUAUAUGUAUCUGAGCAUCAUCUUGACUCUUGAAUCCUCCAGUCUCCACCUCCAAGAUUCCACAUGUGUGCCAUCACUCUUGGUUUAUCCUGCCAUCUUGAGCCCUUGCAUCCAAGUUUUACCUGUCAGUGUCUCACUUGCCUGCAGCAAAGCAGCCGCUCCCCGUGUAAGCCAAUAGCCCAGGCCCAUCACUACAUAAUAAAGUACUGCAAAGCUGGCAGCCUCAAAGGAAAAUCAGGGCACUGCUGCUGAGGAGACCUAAGAGCCGGGGAGCCCAAAGCUGUGGCUCAGGGUCUCUUUGGUGACUUCAGACUGAAGCCUGAAGGGUGUGCUGUCCCAAAGGUCCCCUGAUGGGGCUUGUUCCUUGCUACCGAGGCUGUCUGUAAGUGAAGUGUCCUUGAGAUAUGGUGCUGAGGGACCCAAAAGAGAGCAAGUGAAGACCUCAUCUCUGAAGUAACACAUGGUCGCCUCCACUUGUUUCUGCUCACCUCCAGUCAGGAUCCCGUGCUCCCCACAUUGUCCUAUUUUUACAAAGGAGAAAGGCCCAGCUUCUCUGGAGAAGGCAGGGUUGCCUGUGGGCAUGCAGAUGCUGAGGUGUAGACUGUUAGCUCUUCCUUCCUCUGCUCCUGAGCCUUUGUUCAGUGCUGUGUGUUCAGAGAGGCUGUGUACUGUUUGAGAGCCUGGCUCCCUUCCUUCUUGGAUGGCCAAACACAAUGAUUAACGUCCAUUUUCUGAAAGAAGCAAGACCACAGAAAGAAGUGACCAAAGUCUAACUCCAAACCACACGUCCUAGUACCAUGUCUGACAGGACGUGAUAACAGAGCAAGCCUUUUGAAAGCUUGAAUGCAAGAAUACAUGAUGCAGAUGAGAACUGAAUGCCACCAGCCAGGCUCUCUGUCCCUCACAGACCUCAGCCAGCUGAAACAUGUUUGGAUUAAAGACAAACGUCAUCAACUCACGUCCGCCUCCAGCCUUCACUAUGCACAUUAGGCAACAGCAGUCACAGGUCUGCUUUUGUGGGUGCCAUUGUCACAGCUGUUGGUACAGACACAAAUACUAGGCUUUCUUUCCACCGUGUAAAAAUCCAGACACUGACCCAGCAGAACCCAGUUCCUGUUGAGACACAGAUAACUCAUCCCUCCUCCAAAGAGUUCCUGGGAGCCCUAACAGAUCAAAAGCGCAGGCCCUCCUAGCACUGAUUCCUCCCUUGUUUUGGAAACAAACCUCGGGGCAGGUGUGGAUCAUGCCGAAAGCAAACCGGAGCACAAAGAGAGGCGUUGACAGAGCAGAGCCUUCUGUCCAAGUGACUGACCACAAAAUGGAAGAAAGUGGGUUCUGAGAUGCUUGUGUUCAGCUGUGUAAGGGAGAAGUGCCAGCAGGGCCAGGGGCAGCAGUGUCUGUUCCAGUCACCUGUGAACAUCUGUUGGCCCAGUUCCCUGGGAAACUGGGUUGACAAAGGAGGGAGUGAGGGAGCUUCGGCCUGCCCAGCCUUCAACGACUAGACACCUAUCUAUACCCCUGUACAGCCGACAGGCAAAAUUAACCAUGACACAAGGCUACUUCGAGCAUAAACCAAAUGCAAUCCCGUGUACUGAGUGCCGGGUAAACUGCACAGAUGGACGCUGGGUAGGUAAACCACAGGGGGGUUCGCUGCUGACCUGAAAUUCCCACCUGCUCUGUCAAAGGGAGAGGAUGUUCCUGAGUUGAGGAAGGGGCAGCCAUGGAGGGAAAAGGAAAGGGGGUGAUCGCUGAUCCAAAGGCCUGAGGACAC